AAAUUGAAGAGUUUGAUCAUGGCUCAGAUUGAACGCUGGCGGCAGGCCUAACACAUGCAAGUCGAGCGGUAGCACAGAGAGCUUGCUCUCGGGUGACGAGCGGCGGACGGGUGAGUAAUGUCUGGGAAACUGCCUGAUGGAGGGGGAUAACUACUGGAAACGGUAGCUAAUACCGCAUAACGUCGCAAGACCAAAGUGGGGGACCUUCGGGCCUCAUGCCAUCAGAUGUGCCCAGAUGGGAUUAGCUAGUAGGUGGGGUAACGGCUCACCUAGGCGACGAUCCUAGCUGGUCUGAGAGGAUGACCAGCCACACUGGAACUGAGACACGGUCCAGACUCCUACGGGAGGCAGCAGUGGGGAAUAUUGCACAAUGGGCGCAAGCCUGAUGCAGCCAUGCCGCGUGUGUGAAGAAGGCCUUCGGGUUGUAAAGCACUUUCAGCGGGGAGGAAGGCGAUAAGGUUAAUAACCUUGUCGAUUGACGUUACCCGCAGAAGAAGCACCGGCUAACUCCGUGCCAGCAGCCGCGGUAAUACGGAGGGUGCAAGCGUUAAUCGGAAUUACUGGGCGUAAAGCGCACGCAGGCGGUCUGUCAAGUCGGAUGUGAAAUCCCCGGGCUCAACCUGGGAACUGCAUUCGAAACUGGCAGGCUAGAGUCUUGUAGAGGGGGGUAGAAUUCCAGGUGUAGCGGUGAAAUGCGUAGAGAUCUGGAGGAAUACCGGUGGCGAAGGCGGCCCCUGGACAAAGACUGACGCUCAGGUGCGAAAGCGUGGGGAGCAAACAGGAUUAGAUACCCGUGGUAGUCCACGCCGUAAACGAUGUCGAUUUGGAGGUUGUGCCCUUGAGGCGUGGCUUCCGGAGCUAACGCGUUAAAUCGACCGCCUGGGGAGUACGGCCGCAAGGUUAAAACUCAAAUGAAUUGACGGGGGCCCGCACAAGCGGUGGAGCAUGUGGUUUAAUUCGAUGCAACGCGAAGAACCUUACCUGGUCUUGACAUCCACAGAACUUUCCAGAGAUGGAUUGGUGCCUUCGGGAACUGUGAGACAGGUGCUGCAUGGCUGUCGUCAGCUCGUGUUGUGAAAUGUUGGGUUAAGUCCCGCAACGAGCGCAACCCUUAUCCUUUGUUGCCAGCGGUUAGGCCGGGAACUCAAAGGAGACUGCCAGUGAUAAACUGGAGGAAGGUGGGGAUGACGUCAAGUCAUCAUGGCCCUUACGACCAGGGCUACACACGUGCUACAAUGGCAUAUACAAAGAGAAGCGACCUCGCGAGAGCAAGCGGACCUCAUAAAGUAUGUCGUAGUCCGGAUUGGAGUCUGCAACUCGACUCCAUGAAGUCGGAAUCGCUAGUAAUCGUAGAUCAGAAUGCUACGGUGAAUACGUUCCCGGGCCUUGUACACACCGCCCGUCACACCAUGGGAGUGGGUUGCAAAAGAAGUAGGUAGCUUAACCUUCGGGAGGGCGCUUACCACUUUGUGAUUCAUGACUGGGGUGAAGUCGUAACAAGGUAACCGUAGGGGAACCUGCGGUUGGAUCACCUCCUUACCUUAAAGAA
RNAcentral lists this ribosomal RNA (1549 nucleotides) under Klebsiella pneumoniae. RNAcentral's name for it is "bacterial SSU rRNA". It matches the Rfam family "Bacterial small subunit ribosomal RNA". The record is from RNAcentral. Lineage: Bacteria; Pseudomonadati; Pseudomonadota; Gammaproteobacteria; Enterobacterales; Enterobacteriaceae.